RNAcentral lists this ribosomal RNA (3019 nucleotides) under Salmonella enterica subsp. enterica serovar Bredeney. Its description in RNAcentral is "partial 23S ribosomal RNA". It matches the Rfam family "Bacterial large subunit ribosomal RNA". The record is from RNAcentral. Lineage: Bacteria; Pseudomonadati; Pseudomonadota; Gammaproteobacteria; Enterobacterales; Enterobacteriaceae.
GGGUUGUGAGGUUAAGCGACUAAGCGUACACGGUGGAUGCCCUGGCAGUCAGAGGCGAUGAAGGACGUGCUAAUCUGCGAUAAGCGCCGGUAAGGUGAUAUGAACCGUUAUAACCGGCGAUUUCCGAAUGGGGAAACCCAGUGUGACUCGUCACACUAUCAUUAACUGAAUCCAUAGGUUAAUGAGGCGAACCGGGGGAACUGAAACAUCUAAGUACCCCGAGGAAAAGAAAUCAACCGAGAUUCCCCCAGUAGCGGCGAGCGAACGGGGAGGAGCCCAGAGCCUGAAUCAGCAUGUGUGUUAGUGGAAGCGUCUGGAAAGGCGCGCGAUACAGGGUGACAGCCCCGUACACAAAAGCGCAUGUGCUGUGAGCUCGAUGAGUAGGGCGGGACACGUGGUAUCCUGUCUGAAUAUGGGGGGACCAUCCUCCAAGGCUAAAUACUCCUGACUGACCGAUAGUGAACCAGUACCGUGAGGGAAAGGCGAAAAGAACCCCGGCGAGGGGAGUGAAAAAGAACCUGAAACCGUGUACGUACAAGCAGUGGGAGCCCCACCACUAAGCCAGUGGUGAACUCCACAUACGCAUCCUUUGCUGAGGAUACGGUUAACGGAGCGAAAGCGACGUUCAACCUCAAAAGAAGCAGAGGGGGCUUAGUGGUGGGGUGACUGCGUACCUUUUGUAUAAUGGGUCAGCGACUUAUAUUCUGUAGCAAGGUUAACCGAAUAGGGGAGCCGGAGGGAAACCGAGUCUUAACCGGGCGUUAAGUUGCAGGGUAUAGACCCGAAACCCGGUGAUCUAGCCAUGGGCAGGUUGAAGGUUGGGUAACACUAACUGGAGGACCGAACCGACUAAUGUUGAAAAAUUAGCGGAUGACCUGUGGCUGGGGGUGAAAGGCCAAUCAAACCGGGAGAUAGCUGGUUCUCCCCGAAAGCUAUUUAGGUAGCGCCUCGUGAAUUCAUCUCCGGGGGUAGAGCACUGUUUCGGCUAGGGGGCCAUCCCGGCUUACCAACCCGAUGCAAACUGCGAAUACCGGAGAAUGUUAUCACGGGAGACACACGGCGGGUGCUAACGUCCGUCGUGAAGAGGGAAACAACCCAGACCGCCAGCUAAGGUCCCAAAGUCAUGGUUAAGUGGGAAACGAUGUGGGAAGGCCCAGACAGCCAGGAUGUUGGCUUAGAAGCAGCCAUCAUUUAAAGAAAGCGUAAUAGCUCACUGGUCGAGUCGGCCUGCGCGGAAGAUGUAACGGGGCUAAACCAUGCACCGAAGCUGCGGCAGCGACGCUGAUGCGUUGUUGGGUAGGGGAGCGUUCUGUAAGCCUGCGAAGGUGGCCUGUGAGGGUUGCUGGAGGUAUCAGAAGUGCGAAUGCUGACAUAAGUAACGAUAAAGCGGGUGAAAAGCCCGCUCGCCGGAAGACCAAGGGUUCCUGUCCAACGUUAAUCGGGGCAGGGUGAGUCGACCCCUAAGGCGAGGCCGAAAGGCGUAGUCGAUGGGAAACGGGUUAAUAUUCCCGUACUUGGUGUUACUGCGAAGGGGGGACGGAGAAGGCUAUGUUGGCCGGGCGACGGUUGUCCCGGUUUAAGCGUGUAGGUGUGUGUUCCAGGUAAAUCCGGUUCACUUUAACACUGAGGCGUGAUGACGAGGCACUACGGUGCUGAAGCAACAAAUGCCCUGCUUCCAGGAAAAGCCUCUAAGCAUCAGGUAACAUCAAAUCGUACCCCAAACCGACACAGGUGGUCAGGUAGAGAAUACCAAGGCGCUUGAGAGAACUCGGGUGAAGGAACUAGGCAAAAUGGUGCCGUAACUUCGGGAGAAGGCACGCUGACAUGUAGGUGAAGUGAUUUACUCAUGGAGCUGAAGUCAGUCGAAGAUACCAGCUGGCUGCAACUGUUUAUUAAAAACACAGCACUGUGCAAACACGAAAGUGGACGUAUACGGUGUGACGCCUGCCCGGUGCCGGAAGGUUAAUUGAUGGGGUCAGCGCAAGCGAAGCUCCUGAUCGAAGCCCCGGUAAACGGCGGCCGUAACUAUAACGGUCCUAAGGUAGCGAAAUUCCUUGUCGGGUAAGUUCCGACCUGCACGAAUGGCGUAAUGAUGGCCAGGCUGUCUCCACCCGAGACUCAGUGAAAUUGAACUCGCUGUGAAGAUGCAGUGUACCCGCGGCAAGACGGAAAGACCCCGUGAACCUUUACUAUAGCUUGACACUGAACAUUGAGCCUUGAUGUGUAGGAUAGGUGGGAGGCUUUGAAGUGUGGACGCCAGUCUGCAUGGAGCCGGCCUUGAAAUACCACCCUUUAAUGUUUGAUGUUCUAACGUGGACCCGUGAUCCGGGUUGCGGACAGUGUCUGGUGGGUAGUUUGACUGGGGCGGUCUCCUCCUAAAGAGUAACGGAGGAGCACGAAGGUUGGCUAAUCCUGGUCGGACAUCAGGAGGUUAGUGCAAUGGCAUAAGCCAGCUUGACUGCGAGCGUGACGGCGCGAGCAGGUGCGAAAGCAGGUCAUAGUGAUCCGGUGGUUCUGAAUGGAAGGGCCAUCGCUCAACGGAUAAAAGGUACUCCGGGGAUAACAGGCUGAUACCGCCCAAGAGUUCAUAUCGACGGCGGUGUUUGGCACCUCGAUGUCGGCUCAUCACAUCCUGGGGCUGAAGUAGGUCCCAAGGGUAUGGCUGUUCGCCAUUUAAAGUGGUACGCGAGCUGGGUUUAGAACGUCGUGAGACAGUUCGGUCCCUAUCUGCCGUGGGCGCUGGAGAACUGAGGGGGGCUGCUCCUAGUACGAGAGGACCGGAGUGGACGCAUCACUGGUGUUCGGGUUGUCAUGCCAAUGGCACUGCCCGGUAGCUAAAUGCGGAAGAGAUAAGUGCUGAAAGCAUCUAAGCACGAAACUUGCCCCGAGAUGAGUUCUCCCUGAGACUUAGAGUCUCCUGAAGGAACGUUGAAGACGACGACGUUGAUAGGCCGGGUGUGUAAGCGCAGCGAUGCGUUGAGCUAACCGGUACUAAUGAACCGUGAGGCUUAACCUUACA